Molecule: ribosomal RNA, 424 nt
Filed under: uncultured bacterium
Lineage: Bacteria
Description: partial 16S ribosomal RNA
Rfam family: Bacterial small subunit ribosomal RNA
Source: RNAcentral
UAUAUUGGACAAUGGGCGAAGGCCUGAUCCAGCCAUGCUGCGGGUGUGUAGAAGGUCUUCGGCUUGUAAAGCUCUCUAAUUUGGGCGGAAGGGUUUACACCUAAUACGUGUGAACUUUGACGUUACCAAAAGAAUAGGCACCGGCGAACUUCGUGCAAGCAGCCGCGGUAAUACGAAGGGUGCAAGCGUUAAUCGGAAUUAUUGGGCGUAAAGCGCGCGUAGGUGGUUCGGUAAGUUGGAAGUGAAAGCCCCGGGCUCAACCUGGGAAUUGCUUUCAAAACUGGCGAGCUAGAGUACGGUAGAGGGUGGUGGAAUUUCCUGUGUAGCGGUGAAAUGCGUAGAUAUAGGAAGGAACAUCAGUGGCGAAGGCGACCACCUGGACUGAUACUGACACUGAGGUGCGAAAGCGUGGGGAGCAAACAGG